RNAcentral lists this unclassified non-coding RNA (328 nucleotides) under soil metagenome. RNAcentral's name for it is "partial contains 5.8S ribosomal RNA, internal transcribed spacer 2, and large subunit ribosomal RNA". The stretch from base 1 to 120 matches the Rfam family "5.8S ribosomal RNA", at positions 35 to 154 of the family's 154-position model. The record is from RNAcentral.
GAUGAAGAACGUAGCGAAAUGCGAUAAGUAGUGUGAAUUGCAGAAUUCAGUGAAUCAUCGAAUCUUUGAACGCACAUUGCGCCCCUUGGUAUCCCGAGGGGCAUGCCUGUUCGAGCGUCAUUUCACCACUCAAGCCUGGCUUGGUGUUGGGCGACGUCCCCUUUGGGGACGCGCCUCGAAACGCUCGGCGGCGUGGCACCGGCUUUAAGCGUAGCAGAAUCUUUCGCUUUGGAAGUCGGGGCCCCGUCUGCCGGAAGACCUACUCGCAAGGUUGACCUCGGAUCAGGCAGGGAUACCCGCUGAACUUAAGCAUAUCAAUAAGCGAGGA